Molecule: long non-coding RNA, 235 nt
Filed under: Capra hircus (goat)
Lineage: Eukaryota; Metazoa; Chordata; Mammalia; Artiodactyla; Bovidae
Description: lncRNA (ENSCHIG00000002226.1)
Source: RNAcentral
GGCCCGGCUAAGAGAGUCGUGCAGUGUAGCCUGGACUGUCCCGAAGAAUCAGGUGAAAAUGGUCAUCAGACUGCGCCUUUGCCUCACUCUCGUUCAGGCCCUACUCCUCUCUGCUUCCUCGGAGCUGGCCCUGCUAAGAAGACUCUCCAGGGGAAACCAAAGUCCUCAUAAAUGGAAGAUCAACGUGCAAAGUCCACCUGCUCGCCUCUCAGGAGCUCCCAUGCAGUGAUGGAGG